Molecule: ribosomal RNA, 447 nt
Filed under: uncultured bacterium
Lineage: Bacteria
Description: bacterial SSU rRNA
Rfam family: Bacterial small subunit ribosomal RNA
Source: RNAcentral
UGGGGAAUCUUGGACAAUGGGCGCAAGCCUGAUCCAGCCAUGCCGCGUGGAUGAUGAAGGCCUUAGGGUUGUAAAAUCCUUUCGUGGGGGACGAUAAUGACGGUACCCCAAGAAGAAGCUCCGGCUAACUUCGUGCCAGCAGCCGCGGUAAUACGAAGGGGGCUAGCGUUGUUCGGAUUUACUGGGCGUAAAGCGCGUGUAGGCGGGUCGUUAAGUUGGGGGUGAAAUCCCGAGGCUCAACCUCGGAACUGCCUUCAAAACUGGCGACCUGGACCCAAGUAGAGGCAAGUGGAAUUGCGAGUGUAGAGGUGAAAUUCGUAGAUAUUCGCAGGAACACCAGUGGCGAAGGCGACUUGCUGGACUUGUGGUGACGCUGAGACGCGAAAGCGUGGGGAGCAAACAGGAUUAGAUACCCAAGUAGUCCCUGAGCGGGCUGGCAAGGCGCAU